CCUCGGGAGGCAGCAGUGGGGAAUAUUGCACAAUGGGCGCAAGCCUGAUGCCGCCAUGCCGCGUGUGUGAAGAAGGCCUUCGGGUUGUAAAGCACUUUCAGCGGGGAGGAAGGCGGUGAGGUUAAUAACCUCAUCGAUUGACGUUACCCGCAGCAGAAGCACCGGCUAACUCCGUGCCAGCAGCCGCGGUAAUACGGAGGGUGCAAGCGUUAAUCGGAAUUACUGGGCGUAAAGCGCACGCAGGCGGUCUGUCAAGUCGGAUGUGAAAUCCCCGGGCUCAACCUGGGAACUGCAUUCGAAACUGGCAGGCUAGAGUCUUGUAGAGGGGGGUAGAAUUCCAGGUGUAGCGGUGAAAUGCGUAGAGAUCUGGAGGAAUACCGGUGGCGAAGGCGGCCCCCUGGACAAAGACUGACGCUCAGGUGCGAAAGCGUGGGGAGCAAACAGGAUUAGAUACCCUUGUAGUC
This 464-nucleotide ribosomal RNA is filed under the name uncultured Klebsiella sp. RNAcentral's name for it is "bacterial SSU rRNA". It matches the Rfam family "Bacterial small subunit ribosomal RNA", at positions 339 to 795 of the family's 1533-position model. Lineage: Bacteria; Pseudomonadati; Pseudomonadota; Gammaproteobacteria; Enterobacterales; Enterobacteriaceae. The record is from RNAcentral.